Telopea speciosissima is the source of this 88-nucleotide small nucleolar RNA. RefSeq annotates it as small nucleolar RNA snoR8a. The transcript has a single exon. Lineage: Eukaryota; Viridiplantae; Streptophyta; Magnoliopsida; Proteales; Proteaceae. The record is from RefSeq and is a predicted model, not a curated record.
UGUGGUGCGAUGAUUAUAAAAAUUCCUCAUUCAAUGUCAAGCGCCAUGGCAUGAUAGACUCCUUAACACCCAUAGAAUAUGAGCACCA